Molecule: long non-coding RNA, 881 nt
Filed under: Cricetulus griseus (Chinese hamster)
Lineage: Eukaryota; Metazoa; Chordata; Mammalia; Rodentia; Cricetidae
Description: lncRNA (ENSCGRG00015015247.2)
Source: RNAcentral
GUAUCUCUUAAAUGGAAGCAAAACCCAGAUCGGGGUGGGGGAGGAGGCCUUACUCAUCCUCAUCUUUCUAAUGUACACUGGGUGCCAAAACCAUCUCUGCCUUGUGCAGAUUUAUCAUCGCUAGAGCAAACUUUUUGCUUAUCUGUCUCGGGAGGAAGGCACGGGAUUCUAGCAUAGUCUCUGAGCUCUAACAGAUCAGAGAAUCCGUGAAGAUUUGGUUGGCUGAACAACAGGAUUGAUUACUGUUUCUUCCUGAAAAGAGAGAGAGAGAAAAAAAAAAAAAAGCUUCCCUCAGUCCUUUCUCUCUUCCCCAAGCAGAGGGAGAGACUGCAUAAUUUCAUUCAGGGGUCAGAAAUAAAUUCCUUCGAAAAUAUGUAGCCUUGGAAUUAAGGAGGUUUUUUUUUUUCCUAUACAGUCAUAAGUUUAAUGUACAUUUUCACAAUAGUUAAGCUUUUUUUUUUUUCAGGAUCCAUGCCUGACUAGAUCCCAAGUAGCAACAGCUGGCCUGAGAAUGUCUUGGGUUUGAAGAGGUGGCUCUGUGGUCAAAAGCACAUGGUACUUUUGCAGAGGACCCAAGUUUGUUUGCCAACACCUACAUCAGACCUACACCUGCUCACAACCUCCUCCAAUUCCAGCUUCAGUUCCUGAAGCCACUGGGUCCCACCUGCUUGAGCUAAUUGUCCCCUCCUGGGUUUCAUUUAACCCAGGCUAGCCUUGCAACUGAAGAUAAACUUGAACUCCUGACUCUUGUGCCUCCACUUCAGGAUGCUGGAAUUCAGAUGUGCACCAUCAUGUCCCAUUCAUGUAGUGUGAAAAUUGAACACAGCACCCACAGUGUGAGCCCAAGGUCACAAUUUUCGAUGUCUUAUAGCAAGUAGCUG